Molecule: ribosomal RNA, 482 nt
Filed under: uncultured bacterium
Lineage: Bacteria
Description: partial 16S ribosomal RNA
Rfam family: Bacterial small subunit ribosomal RNA
Source: RNAcentral
AAUGAACGUUGGCGACGUGGAUUAGGCACGCAAGUCGAGCGAGAACCGUAGCAAUACGGGGACAGCGGCGAAAGGGACAGUAAUGUGUAGGUACCUACCCCUGGGUUCGGGAUAGCUGCGGGAAACUGCAGGUAAUACCGAAUAACGUCUACGGACCAAAGGUGUGAUUCCACCUGGGGAGGGGCCUGCAUCCUAUUAGCUUGUUGGCGGGGUAAUGGCCCACCAAGGCAACGAUGGGUAGCGGGUGUGAGAGCACGACCCGCGUCAUUGGGACUGAGAUACUGCCCAGACACCUACGGGUGGCUGCAGUCGAGGAUCUUCGGCAAUGGGCGAAAGCCUGACCGAGCGACGCCGCGUGCGGGAUGAAGGCCUUCGGGUUGUAAACCGCUGUCGUAGAGGAGGAAAUGCAGGGGGGUUCUCCCCUUUGCUUGACCUAUUCUAGGAGGAAGUACGGGCUAAGUUCGUGCCAGCCGCCGCCGUAA